Molecule: ribosomal RNA, 574 nt
Filed under: uncultured bacterium
Lineage: Bacteria
Description: bacterial SSU rRNA
Rfam family: Bacterial small subunit ribosomal RNA
Source: RNAcentral
CCUACGGGAGGCAGCAGUGAGGAAUAUUGGACAAUGGUCGAAAGACUGAUCCAGCCAUGCCGCGUGCAGGAUGUCUGCCCUAUGGGUUGUAAACUGCUUUUAUACGGGAAGAAAAACACCUACGUGUAGGUGAUGACGGUACUGUAAGAAUAAGGACCGGCUAACUCCGUGCCAGCAGCCGCGGUAAUACGGAGGGUCCAAGCGUUAUCCGGAAUCAUUGGGUUUAAAGGGUCCGUAGGCGGGCUAUUAAGUCAGAGGUGAAAGUUUGCAGCUCAACUGUAAAAUUGCCUUUGAUACUGAUAGUCUUGAAUUGUAGUGAAGUGGUUAGAAUAUGUGGUGUAGCGGUGAAAUGCAUAGAUAUCACAUAGAAUACCGAUUGCGAAGGCAGAUCACUAACUAUAUAUUGACGCUGAGGGACGAAAGCGUGGGGAGCGAACGGGAUUAGAUACCCCGGUAGUCCACGCCGUAAACGAUGGAUACUAGCUGUUGGAUUUUUUCAGUGGCUAAGCGAAAGUGAUAAGUAUCCCACCUGGGGAGUACGUUCGCAAGAAUGAAACUCAAAGGAAUUGACGGA